RNAcentral lists this ribosomal RNA (446 nucleotides) under uncultured bacterium. Its description in RNAcentral is "bacterial SSU rRNA". It matches the Rfam family "Bacterial small subunit ribosomal RNA", at positions 329 to 793 of the family's 1533-position model. The record is from RNAcentral.
UACCAGACUCCUACGGGAGGCAGCAGUGGGGAAUAUUGGACAAUGGGGGAAACCCUGAUCCAGCGACGCCGCGUGAGUGAAGAAGUAUUUCGGUACGUAAAGCUCUAUCAGCAGGAAAGAAAAUGACGGUACCUGACUAAGAAGCCCCGGCUAACUACGUGCCAGCAGCCGCGGUAAUACGGAGGAUGCGAGCGUUAUCCGGAUUUAUUGGGUUUAAAGGGUGCGCAGGCGGCGAGUUAAGUCAGCGGUAAAAUUUCGGGGCUCAACCCCGACAAGCCGUUGAAACUGGCUUGCUAGAGUGGGCGAGAAGUAUGCGGAAUGCGUGGUGUAGCGGUGAAAUGCAUAGAUAUCGCGCAGAACUCCGAUUGCGAAGGCAGCGCACCGGCGCCCAACUGACGCUCAUGCACGAAAGCGUGGGUAUCGAACAGGAUUAGAUACCCGAGUAC